AAAAGGCAGCCUUUCAUGUGUAAAAAAAAGCCAAGGCAAGUAAAAAAAAAUAAAAUAAAAAGGCAGCCUUUCAUGAGUUAAAAAAGCCAAGGCUAGAAAAAAGAACAUCGAGCAAAAAAUAGAAUUAUGCUCAAAAGAAUAAGAUGACUUGGUUUAGAUGGUAGAAAAUUCUCAAGUUUGGGGUGUUGAGCUGUCAGAAUUUUGUACGCAUUCAGUGAGAUGGGAAGGAUGUUGUGAAGGAUGUUGUGAGGGAUGUGCUAGUAUUUUAAGAAUGGUGAUAAGCUACUUAUCCAAAUAUGAUCACACCUUUACCAAAAGCCCCGUUACAUCCAAAUGAAAAAGACCUUUUGAUUUAUGCAUCAUAUUGACUUGUGAGCGGUGAAUUUUGCUUGAUUUUGGGAGAAAGAUCUUAUGUGCUUAAAAUAAAGAAUAGCUGGAAGAACUUCUCUUUAUGAAUUAGCGACGAUGGUUUGAGACUCCCAAGACAUAAAUCGAACUUACAUUGAAGCAUUGGAUGCCUAGUUCUUAGGGAAUUAGUUCGUGUACAAUUCUUGUUCUAAAGUCUUACUCGCGCGUGAAUUCGGGCUCAACCUAAUUUCUCUAAAUGAUUCAUGCGAUUUGACGUAACUUGAAGUAGAGGAUUAUCAAAUGUCCUGUGAAUGUGCUUAUUUAUCUAACUUGCUUGAGGGCGAGCAAGACUUAUGUUUGGGAAGUAAUUGAUGUGUGUGGGUAAUUGUUUAACUUGUUAUUACAAAAUGGAUGAAAUGGAGGGUAGUGUACUACUGCUCCAGUUCAAUUUUGACCACCUCACUAUUUAUUCCAGCGAGUUGAAGGGUAUAAAGCUGCAACCAAUAUUUGCUUCAAUAUUCAAACAUUUAUUUAAUAAACCUAACUUUAGUUCGAUAUUUAAUGUGUCAUUUCAUACUAAAGCCAUCAAUGAAGAACUAUUGCCAAAUCUUUAUGAUGCUCUACACUUGUUGGUACCUGAUAAAAUUGGGGUUGGACUUGCUUUGUCUAAUUCUGAAGAACACGAUAUCAUCAUGAUACCAGGAUGUGUGGUUAGUUAUUCUCUUCUUUGUACAUACAUUUAGACAUAAUUUUUUGUUUAGUUGUAGGAAGUGGAAUACAUACAACAGUUUAUUAUUUUUAUCUCCUUGGAAUUCUUCUACUUGUUGCACUAAACCUGUAACCCUUUUCUUGGCUGUGUAUUCAGGAAAGACUUUCUGUUUGAGUCAGAUUACAGAGCUGCUGUGUACCAAUCCUGUUGCGUUUGAGGCUAUUGAGAUAAUUCAGCAUAUUCUCAUGUUACUCUUAGUCGAUUUGAAGGCCUCUCUAACCAUUUAGAUUCGUUCUUGCAAAUGUUAUCUCUCGUGGAACUAAGUUUGCAGGACUUGCUUCUAAAAAAGAAAUCGUGGGCCUUGGAAACUGGUUGAGCACUCAAUUAGUGUCAAGUAAAGAUACUUUAUAUGAGGAAUGGAAAUUGCAGCUUGUUGCCACUAUGUAGUAAAUACUUUAACUACAAUAGAUGGAAUCUAGACUACUUCGAUUUCUGUAUAUUUGAGUUUGUUUUCUUUACCUGUCCGUUUGAUGAUUAUGAUUGAUACAACAAAUUCUGGUUUACUGAGUGAACAUAAGAACAGAUUAAUAGUGUUGUAAUAUACUAUUCAACUUAACUAUGAGUUGUAAUGUUACGCCGUUCUAAAAUUUUCAGCUUGCCUGUAAUGUUUAUCCUUUGUGAAUGCUGCUGCUUCAGUAUCAUUCAAUAAUCAUCACUUGUGACUCACCAUAUGCUGUGUAUUGCUGCAUCAACUUGUGACUCACCAUAUGCUGUGUAUUGCUGCAUCAACUUGUGACUCACCAUAUGUUGUGUAUUGCUGCAUCAACUUCUGACUCACCAUAUGAUGUGUAUUGCUAGAGCUGCUUUAGAUGCUUUGGGGAAGCUUGCAAAUUCAAGAGUUUGUUCCUUCCUAGGUUAUUGGUUAAUGUUAUUAUUUUGAAUUUUAGUAUAACCUUGGAUUUAAGACAUUCCCAUGUUUUUCUUCGAGAGUAAGGUAUUAGAGGAGUUUCUGGACCGUAUCAUUGAGUAGUACUGCUCCAGUUUAGUUUUGACCACCUCUCUAUUUAUUCCAGCGAGUUGAAGGCCAUCAAUGAAGAACUUCUGCAUAAUCAGUCUGAUGCUCUACACUUGUCUGUACCUGAUAAAAUUGAAGUUGGUCUAGCUUUGUCUAAUUCUGAAGAACACGAUACCAGGAUGAGUGGAAAGAAAUUCUUUUUGGGUUAGAUUUCAGAGCUGUGUGCCAAUCCUGUUGCACUUCCUGUUGCACUUGAGGCUACUGAGAUAAUUCAGCAUAUUCUUUUUGAAGUGAUCUGUUUGGUCAAGUUCCUCAACAAUUUAUUUUGACCUAACAUCUCUUAUAUGCCAGUUAGGUAGUUUUAUACUUAGUCUACUGUGUUUGAGUUUUUUUAUCUUUACUUGUCCGUUUGAUGUUUAUGAUUGAUAAAUCAAAUUAUUGGUUUACUGAGUGAACAUGAUCCCAGAUAAAUAAUGUCAUAAAAUACUCUUCAACCUAACUAUGUUAAUUGUAAUGUUACCCUGUUGUAAAAUUUUCAGCUUGCCUAUAAUGUUUAUCCUUUGUGAAUGCUUCUACUUCAGAUCAGUCAUUAAGCAUCAACGCGUGACUCACCUUACGUUGGGUAUUGCUUUACGAGCUGUUUUAGAUGCUUUGUGGAAGCCUGCAGAUCCGGAAGUUUGUUCCUUCCUAGGUUAUCAGUGAAUGUUAUUAUUGUGAAUUACAGUCUGACCUUGGAUUUAUGACAUUAUGAUGUUUUCAUUUGGGAGUAAGGCAUUGGAACAGUUUGUGGACCGUCUUAUUGAGUGGCCACAAUACUGCCAUCAUAUCCUACACUUUGCAGC
Salvia splendens (bonfire salvia) is the source of this 2914-nucleotide RNA transcript. RefSeq lists it as uncharacterized. Lineage: Eukaryota; Viridiplantae; Streptophyta; Magnoliopsida; Lamiales; Lamiaceae. The transcript has 5 exons. The record is from RefSeq and is a predicted model, not a curated record.